This 464-nucleotide ribosomal RNA is filed under the name uncultured bacterium. Its description in RNAcentral is "bacterial SSU rRNA". It matches the Rfam family "Bacterial small subunit ribosomal RNA", at positions 32 to 507 of the family's 1533-position model. The record is from RNAcentral.
AAUCAACGCUGGCGGCGUGCCUCAGACAUGCAAGUCGAACGAUUAAAGCUCUCUUCGGAGAGUGCAUAGAGUGGCGCACGGGUGAGUAACACGUAAGUAAUCUACCUUCGAGUGGGGAAUAACGUCCGGAAACGGACGCUAAUACCGCAUAAUGCAGCGGCAUCGUAAGAUGACAGUUGUUAAAGAUUUAUCGCUUGAAGAGGAGCUUGCGGCAGAUUAGCUAGUUGGUAAGGUAAUGGCUUACCAAGGCUACGAUCUGUAACCGGUCUUAGAGGACGGUCGGUCACACUGACACUGAAUAACGGGUCAGACUCCUACGGGAGGCAGCAGUCGGGAAUUUUGGCAAUGGGCGAAAGCCUGACCCAGCAACGCCGCGUGAAGGAUGAAGUAUUUCGGUAUGUAAACUUCGAAAGAAUAGGAAGAAUAAAUGACGGUACUAUUUAUAAGGUCCGGCUAACUACGUG